GCCGGCGUGGUGAAAUUGGUAGACACGACAGACUCAAAAUCUGUUGUUCGCAAGAACGUGUCGGUUCGAGUCCGACCGCCGGUA
RNAcentral lists this transfer RNA (84 nucleotides) under Spirochaetales bacterium. RNAcentral describes it as "tRNA-Leu". It matches the Rfam family "tRNA". Rfam says of the family: Transfer RNA (tRNA) molecules are approximately 80 nucleotides in length. Their secondary structure includes four short double-helical elements and three loops (D, anti-codon, and T loops). The record is from RNAcentral. Lineage: Bacteria; Pseudomonadati; Spirochaetota; Spirochaetia; Spirochaetales.